AGUGAACGCUGGCGGUAGGCCUAACACAUGCAAGUCGAACGGCAGCACAGUAAGAGCUUGCUCUUACGGGUGGCGAGUGGCGGACGGGUGAGGAAUACAUCGGAAUCUACUUUUUCGUGGGGGAUAACGUAGGGAAACUUACGCUAAUACCGCAUACGACCUACGGGUGAAAGCAGGGGAUCUUCGGACCUUGCGCGAUUGAAUGAGCCGAUGUCGGAUUAGCUAGUUGGCGGGGUAAAGGCCCACCAAGGCGACGAUCCGUAGCUGGUCUGAGAGGAUGAUCAGCCACACUGGAACUGAGACACGAUCCAGACUCCUACGGGAGGCAGCAGUGGGGAAUAUUGGACAAUGGGCGCAAGCCUGAUCCAGCCAUACCGCGUGGGUGAAGAAGGCCUUCGGGUUGUAAAGCCCUUUUGUUGGGAAAGAAAAGCAGCAGGUUAAUACCCCGCUGUUCCGACGGUACCCAAAGAAUAAGCACCGGCUAACUUCGUG
RNAcentral lists this ribosomal RNA (492 nucleotides) under uncultured bacterium. RNAcentral describes it as "partial 16S ribosomal RNA". It matches the Rfam family "Bacterial small subunit ribosomal RNA", at positions 29 to 507 of the family's 1533-position model. The record is from RNAcentral.